Molecule: non-coding RNA, 69 nt
Organism: Cordylochernes scorpioides
Lineage: Eukaryota; Metazoa; Arthropoda; Arachnida; Pseudoscorpiones; Chernetidae
Source: the annotation of a GenBank genome assembly
CGGUUAACGAGGGGCUCGAACCCACUACCCUGAGAUUAAGAGUCUUAUGCUCUACCGACUGAGCUAGCC